RNAcentral lists this ribosomal RNA (440 nucleotides) under Murdochiella massiliensis. RNAcentral describes it as "bacterial SSU rRNA". It matches the Rfam family "Bacterial small subunit ribosomal RNA", at positions 338 to 796 of the family's 1533-position model. Lineage: Bacteria; Bacillati; Bacillota; Tissierellia; Tissierellales; Peptoniphilaceae. The record is from RNAcentral.
CCUACGGGAGGCAGCAGUGGGGAAUUUUGCACAAUGGAGGAAACUCUGAUGCAGCGACGCCGCGUGAACGAAGAAGGUUUUCGGAUCGUAAAGUUCUGUCCUGGGUGAAGAUAAUGACGGUAACUCAGGAGGAAGCCCCGGCUAACUACGUGCCAGCAGCCGCGGUAAUACGUAGGGGGCGAGCGUUGUUCGGAAUUAUUGGGCGUAAAGGGUACGUAGGCGGCUCGUUAAGUUUGGCGUUAAAUUCCGGGGCUCAACCCCGGCAAGCGUUGAAAACUGGCGAGCUUGAGUAGUAGAGGGGACAGUGGAAUUCCUAGUGUAGCGGUGAAAUGCGUAGAGAUUAGGAAGAAUACCGGUGGCGAAGGCGACUGUCUGGAUACAUACUGACGCUGAGGUACGAAAGCGUGGGGAGCAAACAGGAUUAGAUACCCUGGUAGUCC